GAGAGAGGUAUGUAAACAAUAAGAACUGCUAAUUCUUUCCCCUUGGGUUAGAAUCCCAAGCUCACUCG
Molecule: transfer RNA, 68 nt
Filed under: Cynoglossus monopus
Lineage: Eukaryota; Metazoa; Chordata; Actinopteri; Pleuronectiformes; Cynoglossidae
Description: tRNA-Ser
Source: RNAcentral